AUUGAACGCUGGCGGCAUGCCUUACACAUGCAAGUCGAACGGCAGCACGGACUUCGGUCUGGUGGCGAGUGGCGAACGGGUGAGUAAUGUAUCGGAACGUACCUUUCAGUGGGGGAUAACGUAGCGAAAGUUACGCUAAUACCGCAUAUUCUGUGAGCAGGAAAGCAGGGGAUCGCAAGACCUUGCGCUGAUUGAGCGGCCGAUAUCAGAUUAGCUAGUUGGUGGGGUAAAGGCCUACCAAGGCUACGAUCUGUAGCGGGUCUGAGAGGAUGAUCCGCCACACUGGAACUGAGACACGGUCCAGACUCCUACGGGAGGCAGCAGUGGGGAAUUUUGGACAAUGGGGGCAACCCUGAUCCAGCCAUGCCGCGUGAGCGAUGAAGGCCUUCGGUCGUAAGCUCUGUCUCAGAAGAUAAUAGACGGUACUUGUAGGAGGGAAGGCCCCGGCCGUAACCUACGUGCCGACGCAGCCGCGGUACGAGUACUCUAC
Molecule: ribosomal RNA, 490 nt
Filed under: uncultured bacterium
Lineage: Bacteria
Description: bacterial SSU rRNA
Rfam family: Bacterial small subunit ribosomal RNA
Source: RNAcentral